Tetranychus urticae (two-spotted spider mite) is the source of this 1704-nucleotide non-coding RNA. Lineage: Eukaryota; Metazoa; Arthropoda; Arachnida; Trombidiformes; Tetranychidae. The record is from RefSeq and is a predicted model, not a curated record.
CCGUCUUGUUAUGCCAACAUAUUUUUUAGAAAUCGAAUUGUUCGAUUAGAGAAUUUCAAUUCUUUUCAGUCUCUUUAUUGUUCAUAAUCAUUUCAAUAUUGUUAUUUGUUGCAGAUUUCGAUCAUUUUUACGCUGACAUUGCUAUUGAUAAUCAUGGCUUCGUCUUACAUGACAUGUUUUGCUUGUGGAGGUAAAAUAGAGGAAAAGGAUGACUUGAUACUAUCAAAUUACAAUGAAUUCCUGUGCAAGUCAUGUGAUGAAAAUCGGCCCUCCGUGAUAUCGGUCCAUAUUUAUCCAUUUCAUUUUUGUGCAUUCAAUGUAAUGUGUAAAAAAAGAGCUAUUUUCGGCUGCUCAAAUUUCUCAUUCUAUACCUGCAAAUCGUGCCAUGAAAAGUUUUGUGAAUCGGCGUCAAAUGUUCCCAAAUGCUCAAUUAAACCCUUAUUUCAUGGUCCCUUGUGCUCCUCUUGUGGGAAUCCAGCCUUUUUUUCAAAUGAAGCUACGAAGCAGUUCUUAUGUAAUGAUUGUGUUGGGAUAAAUCAUGACAUGGAAUCGAUGGUUGAAAUUGAAGUCAAAAAAUUACAUGACAAGCUUGAGUCACUAGACAAGUGUUGUCAAGCUCGAAAGUAUGAAUUCUCAUCUAUAAUCAGAAAAAUGCAAGAAAAUAUGACUAAGAUGAAGACAAUAAUGAAGGCCACCGGUGAAGUCGACAAUGAUUUGAAUCUUGCUUUCAUUUCUAAUGAUCAGCGGCUUAAUAUUAACAUGAGAAAAAAAAUUAAACUUGAUGAAAUCAUCAAAACAUUUGGCAUUGAGGGUAAUGUAACCAAUGUUUUGAUUCAAGCUCUAAAGAUAAGGCGUGUUAAUAUUCAUCAUGUCAUUGAAUACUUAUCAAAACUUGAGGAAAUUAUCAAUAAUGAAUUGAUUGUUGAUAAAAAAAUAAACAAACUCGAGCCUAAAGUUGAGGAAGAGGACUUGGUUGCUUCACAACCAAAAGACGAGACUUUUUCACAUAGUGAUGUAAUCUCAGCACUUCAAAAUGUUUCAUUAAACCAAACAGCGCCAUUUUGAGCGUCUUGUUCCAUUUUUUGGAUUCAAUAUUGGAUACCUCUGAACACAUAGUAUUUUUCUUUGUCUGUAAUGAAUAUAGUUAACAUUAGCAAACGCUCAUUGGAAACAAUUAGAAGCCUUAAUGAUGUUGAAAAUUAAUAAAUCAUGAUUUAUAAUACCAAUUGAUGAAGAAUACCAAUUUAUUUAUAACACUUUGUAUUUAGCGCUAUAAUCCAUCAACUAUUGUAGCAGCUGUGAAUUUUUGGCAAGAAUUGAUUGUUUAUAAUUUAACGAUAGUCAACAAAAUAUAAAAACAAUAUAAAUGCAUCUAAAAGAUUAUUAUACGUUUUGUGAAAAAUCAUAUCCAAAAGCAAUGGGUCGAUCUGCAGCUGUUGUCGUUUUAGGCGAUUUUGAAAGAAGUGCGUAUGAAAUAUCAUUGUCUUUCAUUAACUAAAUCACAUUGUAAUGUCGAUAUUGUGGCAUAUUUCGUAUCUGAAGAAAUCGCUAAAAAUCCUUUGAUUAUGAUCCAUCCAUUGAAAACAAACUCAUCAUUUAGUAGCUGUUAUUGAAUUAUUUUCUUUCAGAGCUGAUGUGUUUUAUGAUAGAUCACCUGAUAGUUUUAAACCAUUGAAAUCGAGAAAUAAGUAUAAUUUUUUAAGA